AUUUUAAAUCAUUCAAGGAACGGUAUACCACGGGUGAGAUCCUAAAUUAUUGGAAUUAGAACAAUAAUAAUUUAUUUUCUUGGAUUUUAUAACACUAAUAAUUUAGCUAACGAGAUAAUAUAUACGGAUUUAUAUGGGAUGACGGGUUUUGAUCAAUAUUAAUAAAGAAAGGUAUAUUACGGAUGAAAUCAUAAAAUUAACAAUCAAAAUACAAUCAUACAACCUUAAACACAAAAACAUACAAUAUUAACAAAACAAAUAUAACUCAAAAUACAAGCUAUAAAAAAUUGACCCGCGGUAUACUGCAGACAAAAUAUUCAAAAUUUUAAAAUCUACCACACAUUGUUACUUAA
RNAcentral lists this small RNA (353 nucleotides) under Arabidopsis thaliana (thale cress). Its description in RNAcentral is "ATSL213870". The record is from RNAcentral. Lineage: Eukaryota; Viridiplantae; Streptophyta; Magnoliopsida; Brassicales; Brassicaceae.